This 27-nucleotide non-coding RNA is filed under the name Rattus norvegicus (Norway rat). Lineage: Eukaryota; Metazoa; Chordata; Mammalia; Rodentia; Muridae. The record is from RNAcentral.
UAAGGCCUAUAAAUAGUUUGGUGCUGA